AGAGUUUGAUCAUGGCUCACAAUGAACGCUCGGCGGCAGGCCUAACACAUGCAAGUCGAACGGGUCCUUCGGGACUAGUGGCGGACGGGUGAGUAACGCGUGGGAACGUGCCCCUUGGUACGGAAUAGCCCCGGGAAACUGGGAGUAAUACCGUAUGUGGUCGAGAGACGAAAGAUUUAUCGCCGAGGGAUCGGCCCGCGUUGGAUUAGGUAGUUGGUGGGGUAAUGGCCUACCAAGCCGACUAUCCAUAGCUGGUUUGAGAGGAUGAUCAGCCGCACUGGGACUGAGACACGGCCCAUACUCCUACUGGAGGCAACAGUGGGGAAUCUUAUACAAUGGGGGAAACCCUGAUCUACCCAUGCCGCGUGAUCGAUGAAGGCCUUACGGUUGUAAAGAUCUUUCAUGUGGGAAGAUAAUGACUGUACCACCAGAAGAAGCCCCGGCUAACUCCGUGCCACCAGCCGCGGUAAUACGGAGGGGGCUAGCGUUAUUCGGAAUUACUGGGCGUAAAGCGCACGUACGCGGACUGAAAAGUCGGAGGUGAAAUCCCAGGGCUCAACCUUGGAACUGCCUUUGAAACUCUCAGUCUUGAGGUCGAGAGAGGUGAGUGGAAUUCCGAGUGUAGAGGUGAAAUUCGUAGAUAUUCGGAGGAACACCAGUGGCGAAGGCGGCUCACUGGCUCGAUACUGACGUUGAGGUGCGAAAGCGUGGGGAGCAAACAGGAUU
Molecule: ribosomal RNA, 726 nt
Filed under: uncultured bacterium
Lineage: Bacteria
Description: bacterial SSU rRNA
Rfam family: Bacterial small subunit ribosomal RNA
Source: RNAcentral